AAAUGGACGUCUAUGUACGAAAUAUCGCAACGAGUUUAAAAUUUACUGAGAAUUGCGAUUUUCCAAACGGAAAACCUAAUUUUGAUAUAAAUCUGUUCUUAAUUUUAAAACAAAUUAAAACAAAAAUAAAUUUAGCAAAUUGAAACAUCUUAGUAGCUAAACCAAAAAUCAACCGAGAUACUGUUAGUAGUGGCGAACGAAUUCAGUAAAAAGCUUAUUCUUUUUAAACGUUAUUUAAUAAUAGCCAAAGAAGGAAACCUAUUUAAAGGUAGCCCUGUAAAAUAACAUUUAAAAAGUCUUGAUACAAAGUAAAAUGACACAAGUCGUGUGUUUUUUGAAUUAUAUGGGACCACCCAUAAAAGCUAAAACUUUUGAUAAUUGAUAGUGAAAACAGUACCGUGAGGGAAUGGUGAAAAAGUAUUUGCGAAUGUGAAAAAGUUUUGAAAUUUAAUGCUAAAUAUCAGUUGAGGCUUUUAAAUUUGAUUUUAAGAGUAACAGCAUACCUUUUGUAUAAGGGAUCAACAAGUUUAUUUUAGUAGCGAGCUUAAUUAAAAAAUAAAGUAGGCAAAAAGAAAUUGAGUUUUAAAAAUUGCUUUUUUAGUUUCUGAAAUAAAACCCGAAACUGUAGUGAUCUAACCAUGAACUGGUUGAAUUUUAAGCGGAAACGCUUUCUGGAGGACCGAACCCGUAUAUGUUGAAAAAUAUUGGGAUGAUUUGUGGUUAGGGGUGAAAGGCUAAUCAAACACAGAGAUAGCUGGUUUUCUGCGAAAUCUAUUUAAGUAGUUCGUUUAAAUUCUUUAUUUUAGGGUAGAGCUCUUUUUAAAUAAUGGGGAUGUAAAGUCUUACUGAAUUUAUUAAAACUUCGAAUUUUAAAAUAAAAGAUAUUUAAGCAGACAGACAUUGGGUGCUAAGGUCCAUUGUCAAAAGGGAAACAGCCCAGAUUAUUAAUUAAGGCCCUUAAAAACAAUUAAGUGAAAAAAUUAUUAAAAAAUUAUAACAACCGAUAGGUAGGCUUGGAAGCAGCCAUCCUUUAAAGAAAGCGUAACAGCUCACUGGUCUAAAUAAGACGUCCUGCGGCGAAGAUGUAACGGGGCUCAAGCCAUGAGCCGAAGCUUAGGAUGCACAUAGUGCAUGGUAGCAGAGCGUAGUGUGACAUAGCUUCAUGUCUCCUUAGUGUCCUAGGACACAUCGGAGACACGAAGCUUUCGAUGAAGCGGGCGCGUGAGCGAUCCCGUGGAGAGAUCACUAGCGAGAAUGAUGACAUGAGUAGCGACAAAGAGUGUGAGAAACACUCUCGCCGAAAGUCCAAGGGUUCCUGCUUAAAGCUAAUCUGAGCAGGGUAAGCCGGCCCCUAAGGCGAGGCCGAAAGGCGUAGCCGAUGGGAACUAGGUUAAUAUUCCUAGGCCAGGAGGAUGUGACGGAUUGUGAAGGUAGUUCAGACUUAUCGGAUUGUCUGGGCUGCUCAGCAGUCCCUGGAAAUAGCCCUCCAUCAGACCGUACCCUAAACCGACACAGGUGGAUAGGUAGAGAAUACCAAGGCGCUUGAGAGAACUCUGCUGAAGGAACUAGGCAAAAUGGUACCGUAACUUCGGGAGAAGGUACGCUAUUGGUGGUGAUAGGACACGCUCCUUGAGCUGCUGGUAGUCGCAGAUACCAGGCUGCUGCAACUGUUUAUUAAAAACACAGCACUCUGC
This 1694-nucleotide ribosomal RNA is filed under the name Asterionellopsis glacialis. RNAcentral's name for it is "partial Bacterial large subunit ribosomal RNA". It matches the Rfam family "Bacterial large subunit ribosomal RNA", at positions 50 to 1826 of the family's 2925-position model. The record is from RNAcentral. Lineage: Eukaryota; Bacillariophyta; Plagiogrammaphyceae; Rhaphoneidales; Asterionellopsidaceae.